AUGCACGCUGGCGGCGUGCCUAAUACAUGCAAGUCGCGCGAACAGACGAGGAGCUUGCUCCUCUGACGCUAGCGGCGGACGGGUGAGUAACACGUGGAUAACCUACCUAUAAGACUGGGAUAACUUCGGGAAACCGGAGCUAAUACCGGAUAAUAUAUUGAACCGCAUGGUUCAAUAGUGAAAGACGGUUUUGCUGUCACUUAUAGAUGGAUCCGCGCCGCAUUAGCUAGUUGGUAAGGUAACGGCUUACCAAGGCAACGAUGCGUAGCCGACCUGAGAGGGUGAUCGGCCACACUGGAACUGAGACACGGUCCAGACUCCUACGGGAGGCAGCAGUAGGGAAUCUUCCGCAAUGGGCGAAAGCCUGACGGAGCAACGCCGCGUGAGUGAUGAAGGUCUUCGGAUCGUAAAACUCUGUUAUUAGGGAAGAACAAAUGUGUAAGUAACUAUGCACGUCUUGACGGUACCUAAUCAGAAAGCCACGGCUAACUACGUG
This 496-nucleotide ribosomal RNA is filed under the name uncultured bacterium. Its description in RNAcentral is "partial 16S ribosomal RNA". It matches the Rfam family "Bacterial small subunit ribosomal RNA", at positions 29 to 507 of the family's 1533-position model. The record is from RNAcentral.